UUGCGUUCCCUCUUUUAAAUGUGUACAACAUUGCGCAUCAUUCCUCCCCCCCUUUUUUUUUACACAUAUCAAAAUGCGAACUCCAUUAUACAUACAAUGCAGACAGAUACAACAAACUUAUCCUGGAUGAAGUUCAUAUUUCAUAGCACUUUUCAAUAAAGUAUUUAUAAAGUUAAAGAUAAUACAAAAAUUAAAUCAACC
RNAcentral lists this long non-coding RNA (201 nucleotides) under Mytilus galloprovincialis (Mediterranean mussel). The record is from RNAcentral. Lineage: Eukaryota; Metazoa; Mollusca; Bivalvia; Mytilida; Mytilidae.